GACGAACGCUGGCGGCGUGCCUAAUACAUGCAAGUCGAGCGAAGUUUUUCUGGUGCUUGCACCGGAAAAACUUAGCGGCGCACGGGUGAGUAACACGUAAAGAACCUGCCUCAUAGACUGGGACAACUAUUGGAAACGAUAGCUAAUACCGGAUAACAGCAUUAACUGCAUGGUUGAUGUUUAAAAGUUGGUUUUGCUAACACUAUGAGAUGGCUUUGCGGUGCAUUAGCUAGUUGGUGGGGUAAAGGCCUACCAAGGCGACGAUGCAUAGCCGACCUCAGAGGGUGAUCGGCCACACUGGGACUGAGACACGGCCCAGACUCCUACGGGAGGCAGCAGUAGGGAAUCUUCCGCAAUGGGCGAAAGCCUGACGGAGCAACGCCGCGUGAGUGAAGAAGGAUUUCGGUUCGUAAAGCUCUGUUGUUAGGGAAGAAUGAUUGUGUAGUAACUAUACACAGUAGAGACGGUACCUAACCAGAAAGCCACGGCUAACUACGUG
This 499-nucleotide ribosomal RNA is filed under the name uncultured bacterium. RNAcentral's name for it is "partial 16S ribosomal RNA". It matches the Rfam family "Bacterial small subunit ribosomal RNA", at positions 28 to 507 of the family's 1533-position model. The record is from RNAcentral.